RNAcentral lists this ribosomal RNA (254 nucleotides) under uncultured bacterium. Its description in RNAcentral is "partial 16S ribosomal RNA". It matches the Rfam family "Bacterial small subunit ribosomal RNA", at positions 524 to 777 of the family's 1533-position model. The record is from RNAcentral.
GACAGAGGGUGCAAACGUUGUUCGGAAUUACUGGGCGUAAAGCGCACGUAGGCGGAUUGUUAAGUUAGGGGUGAAAUCCCAGGGCUCAACCCUGGAACUGCCUUUAAUACUGGCAAUCUCGAGUCCGAGAGAGGUGAGUGGAAUUCCGAGUGUAGAGGUGAAAUUCGUAGAUAUUCGGAGGAACACCAGUGGCGAAGGCGGCUCACUGGCUCGGUACUGACGCUGAGGUGCGAAAGCGUGGGGAGCAAACAGGG